GUGAGUGUAGCUCAGACGGUUAGAGUAUCUGGUUGUGGCCCAGAAGGUCGGGGGUUCGAAUCCCCUCACUCACCCCA
This 77-nucleotide transfer RNA is filed under the name Desulfofustis glycolicus DSM 9705. Its description in RNAcentral is "tRNA_His_GTG". It matches the Rfam family "tRNA". Rfam says of the family: Transfer RNA (tRNA) molecules are approximately 80 nucleotides in length. Their secondary structure includes four short double-helical elements and three loops (D, anti-codon, and T loops). Further hydrogen bonds mediate the characteristic L-shaped molecular structure. tRNAs have two regions of fundamental functional importance: the anti-codon, which is responsible for specific mRNA codon recognition, and the 3' end, to which the tRNAs corresponding amino acid is attached (by aminoacyl-tRNA synthetases). tRNAs cope with the degeneracy of the genetic code in two manners: having more than one tRNA (with a specific anti-codon) for a particular amino acid; and 'wobble' base-pairing, i.e. permitting non-standard base-pairing at the 3rd anti-codon position. RNAcentral also lists the same sequence under 2 other names. The record is from RNAcentral. Lineage: Bacteria; Pseudomonadati; Thermodesulfobacteriota; Desulfobulbia; Desulfobulbales; Desulfocapsaceae.